GACGAACGCUGGCGGCGUGCUUAACACAUGCAAGUCGAACGGAAAGGCCCUGCUUUUGUGGGGUGCUCGAGUGGCGAACGGGUGAGUAACACGUGAGUAACCUGCCCUUGACUUUGGGAUAACUUCAGGAAACUGGGGCUAAUACCGGAUAGGAGCUCCUGCUGCAUGGUGGGGGUUGGAAAGUUUCGGCGGUUGGGGAUGGACUCGCGGCUUAUCAGCUUGUUGGUGGGGUAGUGGCUUACCAAGGCUUUGACGGGUAGCCGGCCUGAGAGGGUGACCGGCCACAAUGGGAAUGAGAUACGGCCCAGACUCCUAAGGGAGGCAGCAGGGGGGAAUAAUGCAAAAUGGGCGGAAGGCUGAUGCAGCAACGCCGCGUGCGGGAUGACGGCCUUCGGGGUGGAAACCGCUUUCGCCUGUGACGAAGCGUGAGUGAAGGUAAUGGGUAAAGAAGCACCGGCUAACUACGUG
Molecule: ribosomal RNA, 468 nt
Filed under: uncultured bacterium
Lineage: Bacteria
Description: partial 16S ribosomal RNA
Rfam family: Bacterial small subunit ribosomal RNA
Source: RNAcentral